RNAcentral lists this ribosomal RNA (482 nucleotides) under uncultured bacterium. RNAcentral describes it as "partial 16S ribosomal RNA". It matches the Rfam family "Bacterial small subunit ribosomal RNA", at positions 30 to 507 of the family's 1533-position model. The record is from RNAcentral.
AUUGAACGCUGGCGGCAUGCCUUACACAUGCAAGUCGAACGGUAACAGGUCUUCGGAUGCUGACGAGUGGCGAACGGGUGAGUAAUACAUCGGAACGUGCCCGAUCGUGGGGGAUAACGGAGCGAAAGCUUUGCUAAUACCGCAUACGAUCUACGGAUGAAAGCAGGGGACCGCAAGGCCUUGCGCGGACGGAGCGGCCGAUGGCAGAUUAGGUAGUUGGUGGGAUAAAAGCUUACCAAGCCGACGAUCUGUAGCUGGUCUGAGAGGACGACCAGCCACACUGGGACUGAGACACGGCCCAGACUCCUACGGGAGGCAGCAGUGGGGAAUUUUGGACAAUGGGCGAAAGCCUGAUCCAGCCAUGCCGCGUGCAGGAUGAAGGUCUUCGGGUUGUAAACUGCUUUUGUACGGAACGAAAAGACUCUUUCUAAUAAAGAGGGUCCAUGACGGUACCGUAAGAAUAAGCACCGGCUAACUACGUG